This 208-nucleotide ribosomal RNA is filed under the name Clostridium botulinum. RNAcentral describes it as "partial 16S ribosomal RNA". It matches the Rfam family "Bacterial small subunit ribosomal RNA", at positions 1 to 203 of the family's 1533-position model. Lineage: Bacteria; Bacillati; Bacillota; Clostridia; Eubacteriales; Clostridiaceae. The record is from RNAcentral.
UUUAAAUUUAGAGUUUGAUCCUGGCUCAGGACGAACGCUGGCGGCGUGCUUAACACAUGCAAGUCGAGCGAUGAAACUUCUUUCGGGAAGUGGAUUAGCGGCGGACGGGUGAGUAACACGUGGGUAACCUGCCUCAAAGUGGGGGAUAGCCUUCCGAAAGGAAGAUUAAUACCGCAUAAUAUAAGAGAAUCGCAUGGUUUUCUUAUCA